Molecule: long non-coding RNA, 2331 nt
Organism: Eriocheir sinensis (Chinese mitten crab)
Lineage: Eukaryota; Metazoa; Arthropoda; Malacostraca; Decapoda; Varunidae
Exons: 3
Source: RefSeq, a predicted model, not a curated record
AAUGUGUCUGAACAAGUAAAAAGGGAAAGGAAAAAGAAAUAUAGAGAAUGCAAAAUGAAAUUAAAACAAGCAAUAAAAGAAAGUAAGAAGAGAGUUGAUGAAGACUUUGGAAAAAGACUAAGUGAAAUAUAUAAAGGGAAUAGGAAAUCAUAUUGGAAAGAAGUAAAAAACGAAAGAAAUGCAGAAAAUAUCUCCCCAAGUAAAAUAAAUGAAGUUAUGGAUGAGAAUGGAAAGAUGUUGAAAGACGGGGAAGCUGUGAAAGAGAGAUGGAGAGAAUAUUUCAAAAACUUAAUGAAUUUUGAGGAUGGACGUCCAGCAGCUGUAACAGCAGCAGUUUUGAGUAGAGGUAGAGGAGGAGUAUAUAAAGAAAGAAGUAUAACAUAUGAAGAAGUAAAUCAGGCAUUAAAAAGAUUAAAAAAUGGAAAAGCAGCAGGAACUGCCUUCAUGGACUUUGAAAAAGCUUAUGACAGACUCGAUUGGAUUGCAUUGUGGGAUGUUUUAAAGAUUUAUGGUGUGGGAGGAAAACUGCUUAGUGCAAUAAAGUCUUUCUAUGAGGAUGCAUCUGCAUGUGUCAAAAUUGGUGGAGAAACAAGUGAACAUUUUGAGAUAAAGGUGGGAUUAAGGCAGGGGCGUGUCAUGUCACCAUGGUUGUUCAAUAUUUAUAUGGAUGGUGUCAUGAGAGAAAUAAAGGGCAAAGUUGGAGUAAAAAUGUAUGCUGAGGGAAGGCAGUGGGUGCUGAAUUCAAUCCUGUUUACUGAUGACACGGUGCUCAUUGCAGAAAAUGAAAGUGACUUACAAAACUUGGUCAGUGAUUUUCAUAGCGUCUGUAAAAGGAGAAAGCUGAAAGUAAAUGUCAACAAAAGUAAAGUGAUGGUUUGUGAGGGGAGUAGAAGUGAAGUUGUAGAUUUUGUAUGCCCUUAUAGAGUGGGAACUGAAUGUGAAAAAGAAUGCAAAAUAAUUCUGAAUGGUGAAGAAAUGGAGGAGGUCAAUGAGUUUAAGUACCUUGGAUCAGUUAUCAGUUGAAAAUACAAUAAUAGUACCAACCCUCACAUAUGCAAGUGAAACAUGGGCCUGGAAUGAAAGUCAGAGGUCUAGAGUGCAGGCAGUGGAAAUGAGUUAUUUGAGGAGUGCUUGUGGUGUGAGUAGAAUGGAUGGAAUAAGUAAUGAAAGUGUGUAUGAGCGUUUUGGAAUGUGUCACGGGGGUGAAGGGAAUAAGUGACUUUAAAGUGGUUUGGCCACAUGGAGCAAAUGGAGGAGAGUAAGAUGACCAGCAGAAGGGCGUAUGUGAGAUUGAGGGAGGGAAUGUUAGAGGACGACCUCCAGUGAAAUGGAGAGAUAGGGUGCAGGAGUACGUUAGGGAGAAGGAUGAGAGAUCCUUGAGAGAAACUUUGAGCAGGCAAGGAGGGAGUGUCCGGAUAGAGAAAGAUGGAAACUUCUGCCGUGGCCAUCCCCUGGUGGGAGCUCCUAAGAGCAGGCGUCGAUGAGAUGAUGAUGAUGAAUGAAUUGAGAGGAAUCACAGCAGAAAUGUUGAAGUGUGGAGAUGAAGUUACUAUAUGAAUGGUCAAGAUAUGUGAAGUGGCCUGGGAAGGGGGGGGAGGUCCCAGCAGACUUGACAAAAGCCAUCAUGGUCCCAGUUUACAAGGGGAAGGGCAGGAGAGGGGAGGUGGGAGUUGUAGGGGUAUAAGUCUGCUGAGUGUAGGCUACCCGGAAAGGUAUAUGGAAAAGUCCUAAUUGAGACUGCGCAAAGACUUACAGAAGAGAAAGUCAGUGAAGAACAAGGAGACUUCAGGAAGGGAAGAGGAUGUGUGGAUCAGAUAUUUUCCUUCAGGAUGGUGUUUUAUUAGAAAAAAUAUUAGCAAAAGGAAAAAAUACUAUGCUGCCUUCAUGGAUCUAGUUAUUCUAAAGAAAGUUUAUGACAGAGUCGAUUGGCUGGCAUUGUGGGACGUCUUAAAGAUAUAUGGUGUGGGAGGAAAACUGCUUUAUGCAAUAAAGUCUUUCUAUGAGGAUGCAUCUGCAUGUGUCAAAAUUACUGGAGAAACAAGUGAACAUUUUGAGAUGAAAGUGGGCUAAGGCAGGGGUGUGUCAUGUCAUCGUGGUUGUUCAAUAUUUAUAUGGAUGGUGUUAUGAAAAAUGAAGGGCAAAGUUGGGGAAAUUGAAGUAAAAAUGUAUGCCGAGGGAGGGAAGGAAGUGGGUCAGUGUUUUUGAUAGUGUAUGUAAAAGGAGAAAGUUGAAAGUAAAUGUCAACAAAAGUAAAAUGAUGGUUUGUGAGCGGAGUAGAAGGGAGGUUGUAGAGUUUGUAUGCCCAUAUAGAGUGGGCAUUGAAUGUGAAAA